Molecule: ribosomal RNA, 497 nt
Filed under: uncultured bacterium
Lineage: Bacteria
Description: partial 16S ribosomal RNA
Rfam family: Bacterial small subunit ribosomal RNA
Source: RNAcentral
GAUGAACGCUGGCGGCGUGCCUAAUACAUGCAAGUCGAGCGAACAGACGAGGAGCUUGCUCCUCUGACGUUAGCGGCGGACGGGUGAGUAACACGUGGAUAACCUACCUAUAAGACUGGGAUAACUUCGGGAAACCGGAGCUAAUACCGGAUAAUAUACUGAACCGCAUGGUUCAAUAGUGAAAGACGGUUUUGCUGUCACUUAUAGAUGGAUCCGCGCCGCAUUAGCUAGUUGGUAAGGUAACAGCUUACCAAGGCAACGAUGCGUAGCCGACCUGAGAGGGUGAUCGGCCACACUGGAACUGAGACACGGUCCAGACUCCUACGGGAGGCAGCAGUAGGGAAUCUUCCGCAAAGGGCGAAAGCCUGACGGAGCAACGCCGCGUGAGUGAUGAAGGUCUUCGGAUCGUAAAACUCUGUUAUUAGGGAAGAACAAAUGUGCAAGUAACUAUGCACGUCUUGACGGUACCUAAUCAGAAAGCCACGGCUAACUACGUG